Molecule: non-coding RNA, 21 nt
Organism: Caenorhabditis elegans
Lineage: Eukaryota; Metazoa; Nematoda; Chromadorea; Rhabditida; Rhabditidae
Source: Ensembl
UGAUCGAUUUUUUUGCUUUUU